RNAcentral lists this signal recognition particle RNA (263 nucleotides) under Fidelibacterota bacterium. Its description in RNAcentral is "signal recognition particle sRNA large type". It matches the Rfam family "Bacterial large signal recognition particle RNA". From Rfam's summary of the family: The signal recognition particle (SRP) is a universally conserved ribonucleoprotein involved in the co-translational targeting of proteins to membranes. Archaeal SRP consists of a 7S RNA and homologues of the eukaryotic SRP19 and SRP54 proteins. The record is from RNAcentral. Lineage: Bacteria; Pseudomonadati; Fidelibacterota.
CUGUGCUAGGCGGGGAGUUAGCGGUUCCCUUGACCUGCAAUCCGCUAUAGCGGGGCCGAAUUCCUGUAUGAGAAUUGGCGCCUGGGAUGCUUUGAAGUAAGCGGUGUUGAACAUUGGAGUCCUGCGCAAUGGGAAAUUGCUCAAUCCCGUCAGGCCCGGAAGGGAGCAGCGGUCGGCAACGGAACAUGUGCCGCAGGUGCUCUCCGGUGGAGCUGGCUGCUUCAGAAAGUCCCUUCACCGACAAUUCGAUUACAGGUGCACAG